Molecule: long non-coding RNA, 3590 nt
Organism: Tyto alba (common barn owl)
Lineage: Eukaryota; Metazoa; Chordata; Aves; Strigiformes; Tytonidae
Exons: 3
Source: RefSeq, a predicted model, not a curated record
UAGGCUUCAACAGUUCAUUAGUUUUAACAGUGAACACUGGGAACUGGAUUACCAUAGCCAGGUGUCAGCAGUGUUUAGGGGAAAGGAAAUACGUUCCUGAAUGCAGGUCACAGGACAGUGAGGAAACAGGUGAGGCUCACAUCACAUUUUGUAGAGAGUUGUUUAAACACUUUUGCAAUAUUCCACUAUCCCUUGAAUAACUUCAAAUAUACAGCCUUGGAAGAACCAGCUAACAUCGGGUUUUGCAGAAGGUCUGAGGAAGAACAAGCAGCAGCUACCCGAAGUGAGAAUGAUUAGAAGCUUAAAACCACAUUCAGUUUUCAUUCAACUCUGGCUGUGGCAAAAUUCAGCGUAAAUGGGUGGUUGAGCAAGUAAGGUGCAGAUUUCAACUGUCAACCCAGUGGCAGGGUCUCUGCACAGUGCCACAUGUACAGAUAUGUGGGAAAGCAGAUAAAGCUGAAACUCAGUCAUCUUUCACAUGUAUUUCUCUAUCAAGUCAAAACAUACACUCAGUAUCUCAAUCCAUAAUGAACCUCCAAUAUUGUAAAUUUACCAUAAGAGCUGCCUUUAUUGAAAUACCUCCAAAAUUUGUCACUAAAAAUAUGUAGUGGAUAAAGCUAUUUUAAAGAACUUGUGAUUUUCCUCCUGGUAUGUACUGUAAGUGAUUUCCGAGUCGAGCCUUUCUUAUAUAAAGACAUAUGUCUAAAAUGAAGCAUUUAUAUGGUAAAAUGAAAAAAGGAACUACUGUCUCAAAAAAUAAUACUUUUCAAGAACAUCCCUACUACACUCUCCUUCUCAUGAAGUGCUUUAAGCAAGCUCUAAAAAGCUGGAUGGGGACCUUGUCCACACACUUAUCUUGUACUCAGUCGGAACAAACACAAGAAUCCCAUCUCUUGUGCUUCAUGGUUAUUAUUUUCAUAUCACACUAACCUCCUUGGUAGAAAGCUUAACAACUGCUCAUGAUCAAAUAACCCAACCAGGCAAAAGCUUUGGUCUUCCACAGCUAUCAUAACCAAAAAACCCCAAACUCUUGGUUGACUUGGAUCAAAAAAUCUCUCCAAAAAAUCUCCAAACAGAAAACAUACCUCAGAAACAUCUCAGCAGUGUUUUCCCUGCCAUUGUCUUUGUGGAGGACCAGUGCACCUACAUCACACUGAGCAAUCAUCUACGAAUAGAUGGUCCUAUCCAGACCUGCCAGGAACACCAGGACUUUGUACAACAUUGUGCAGUGGAGAAUUGCUCUUUAUAAAGCAUGUGACAAUGUUUCAAAAAGCCAAAAUUGUCCAGCGCUAUGCCACUAACUUGUGCAUUGUAUCAAUUUUUUCUUUUUUUUUUUUUUUUUUUUUUUUUAACCUGUUGUUUCUUUGUUAUGCUGCAUAGAGGAAUGCUUGACUUGUCAGGCUGGAGGAGUGUUUUGGCUUAUGGUGCUUAGUGCCAUGGUGGCAGCAACUGCUUCAGGCAAGGUUUGAUGGAGUUUUGUUCUAGUUUUUCCACUCCGUAGGCUGGCAUUGACACUAAAAAAUAGCCACCUGUGUACUUUCCAAAAAUCCUGUUUAAUAUUUACCAUUCAGACUCAUCACAUGCCUGCUGUUCUUUUUGCAACUUAACCUCUUCUGGGUCAUCAAUGCUGACCUCAAGGAUAUCUGGUGAAGAGUAGGCUGGACAGCAGCUUGUUUCUUGCCGUUAAGUCUUAAACUGUCCACUCUCCACAGGCUUUUUGUUGGUUUCCUUGCUACCAUUAUUUCAAGACUUCUGUCUGCCUGCCUAUAUAUACCUAUGGCCUACACCCCUUGUAGUAUCCAACUGCCAACCAGUUCUUCACUAUAACUUCUGUACUAAUCACAGAAUUGCAGAGUGGUUGAGGUUGGAAGGGAUCUCUGGAGGUCAUCUUGUCCAAACCACUGCACAAGCAGGGUCACCUAGAGCUGGUUGCCCAGGACUGUGUCUGGACAGUUUUUAAGCAUCUCUAAAGAGGGAGUGAAAACAAGUAUUAUUAUUCCCAUUGUGCAGAUAAAGAAAGAAACAAAAAGAUUAAGGGUUUGCCAAGGAAGUUAAGGAACCGCAACUAUAAUUUUGAUUCACACUACGCCUUACUUGACAUUGUUAGGUACUUCAGAGACUAUUCAAGCCUGCUGGUAGUACAGGUUGAAUUAAGAAGAUAAAAGGCUGAAAAAACAAAUCUAGGAAGCAGUGUAAUGGUGGUAACUCAAGUAAGUAUCAGUUUUAUUUAAACAGCACUUUAUUAUUUUUUUUUUAUGGGUAGAAAGUAGCUAAAUUUAAAAAACCCUGAUGACCUAAAAGAAAAAAAAAUAGCCAGGGGAAACAAAAAGAAAGUGAAGAUCUGAAAGGGGGAAAGGUUGAAGAUGAACAGGUGUUAGUGCAAGACUCAAGGAGAUGCAAAAUCUAGCCUGCCCACCUAUGCAGACUUUUUAGUCUCACAAAGUCCAACAGUUGAGGUUUGGCCAAAGCAUACUGCCUGCAGUAGCAACAAGGCUUGACCUAAGCCUGCUAGAACAAGGCCAGUCCACCAAGAUCCUUAGCUGGAAAAGGGAGGGCAGAGGGAGGCUGAAGAGUAGGGGCUGUAAGGCGUCAGUUCUUUGCGGGAUGAGGUGCUGUGCUGGCACAUGAACUGGCUGAGGCUACUGCUGUGCCGGCUCCCUUUGUGGGUUGCGCUGGGUGCCCCAGGCAUUUCUUUCUCAGGAUCACUGCUGAAACUCCAGUCAUUCAUUCUUAGGUUCUGAUCCUGAAUGUUUAAAAACGUCAUGUAGAUGUAUUUUUUAAACUAGUAUCUAUGGGUCUCCUUUUUUUUAGUGACUAUUCAGCCUCCAGUUCUACUGUCCAUCUGUGACGGAUUUUCUACUCCUUCUGCUCCUCCUGAGCAGCAGGGUACCACAUCAGCUGUUAACUCAUGGGAACAUCCCAAUUCUCUUCCUUUCUUGCAACACCUGAGCCCGCGGCGAGGCUGGGCAGCCCGCGGCGAGGCCCCGGCGGGAGGCAGGAGGGGCAGCGGAGGAGGAGAAGGGGCAUUAAGCUCACGCUCGAGUCGCCGAGGCCAGCGCGCGGCAAGGCCGGGCUGGGCGGGCCGCCCGCCUCCCUCAGCCGCCCCCCGGGCGGUGCCGCCGCGCCGCGGCCGCCGGCCGGUCGGGACGAGGCGAGGCAAGAUGGCGGCGGGCCUGGCGGGGAGGAGCUCGAGGAGCAGCAGAAGAAUCGGCGUGUGCCGCGUGUGCAGUGCUGAAAUACCACCGAGACCCUUCAGCGCAAACGGAUGAGAGUGGUCGGUGCCCUGCUACACUGUAGGGCUGUACCAAGAUCAAUGCGAGCUGUGCCACGGAAGCAGGCAGCAUCAAGAGAUAAUGGGAUUUGUCACACCAAUGCUAAACCGAGACUAAGCUUCAACCUUUCAUAUGGAACUUUUUGCUGAAAGAGGAAGCUGCAGUACUGAAAGCAGUUCAGUGCUUGAUUGCAUGAGACCAUGCCUCUCACAGAAAGUGAAUGAUGUCUUACUUCAAACACUUUAUGCAAUGCAAACUUAGUUAUAUCCUUUCAAGUUUUGUUUUUGCAAGGCAACAAUAAACCAGUGAUUGACUUUU